This 1013-nucleotide ribosomal RNA is filed under the name Cellulophaga lytica. RNAcentral's name for it is "bacterial SSU rRNA". It matches the Rfam family "Bacterial small subunit ribosomal RNA", at positions 46 to 1062 of the family's 1533-position model. Lineage: Bacteria; Pseudomonadati; Bacteroidota; Flavobacteriia; Flavobacteriales; Flavobacteriaceae. The record is from RNAcentral.
GCUUAACACAUGCAAGUCGAGGGGUAACAGAGGAGCUUGCUCUUGCUGACGACCGGCGCACGGGUGCGUAACGCGUAUACAAUCUGCCUUACACUAAGGGAUAGCCCAGAGAAAUUUGGAUUAACACCUUAUAGUUUAUUUUUAUGGCAUCAUUUAAAUAAUAAAGUUUACGGUGUAAGAUGAGUAUGCGUCCCAUUAGUUUGUUGGUAAGGUAACGGCUUACCAAGACUACGAUGGGUAGGGGCCCUGAGAGGGGGAUCCCCCACACUGGUACUGAGACACGGACCAGACUCCUACGGGAGGCAGCAGUGAGGAAUAUUGGACAAUGGAGGAGACUCUGAUCCAGCCAUGCCGCGUGCAGGAAGACGGUCCUAUGGAUUGUAAACUGCUUUUAUACAGGAAGAAUAAGGACUACGUGUAGUCUGGUGACGGUACUGUAAGAAUAAGGACCGGCUAACUCCGUGCCAGCAGCCGCGGUAAUACGGAGGGUCCGAGCGUUAUCCGGAAUUAUUGGGUUUAAAGGGUCCGUAGGCGGGCUGUUAAGUCAGGGGUGAAAGUUUGCAGCUCAACUGUAGAAUUGCCUUUGAUACUGAUGGUCUUGAAUUAUUGUGAAGUGGUUAGAAUAUGUAGUGUAGCGGUGAAAUGCAUAGAUAUUACAUAGAAUACCGAUUGCGAAGGCAGAUCACUAACAAUUGAUUGACGCUGAUGGACGAAAGCGUGGGUAGCGAACAGGAUUAGAUACCCUGGUAGUCCACGCCGUAAACGAUGGAUACUAGCUGUUUGGAUUUCGAUCUGAGCGGCCAAGCGAAAGUGAUAAGUAUCCCACCUGGGGAGUACGUUCGCAAGAAUGAAACUCAAAGGAAUUGACGGGGGCCCGCACAAGCGGUGGAGCAUGUGGUUUAAUUCGAUGAUACGCGAGGAACCUUACCAGGGCUUAAAUGUAGAUUGACAGGUUUAGAGAUAGACUUUCCUUCGGGCAAUUUACAAGGUGCUGCAUGGUUGUCGUCAGCUCG